This 1010-nucleotide ribosomal RNA is filed under the name uncultured Acidobacteriota bacterium. RNAcentral describes it as "bacterial SSU rRNA". It matches the Rfam family "Bacterial small subunit ribosomal RNA", at positions 358 to 1362 of the family's 1533-position model. The record is from RNAcentral. Lineage: Bacteria; Pseudomonadati; Acidobacteriota.
GGAAUUUUGGACAAUGGGCGAAAGCCUGAUCCAGCCAUGCCGCGUGAGUGAAGAAGGCCUUCGGGUUGUAAAGCUCUUUCGGCGGGGACGAAACGGUCCGUGCCAACACCACGGAUCAAUGACGGUACUCGCAGAAGAAGCACCGGCUAACUACGUGCCAGCAGCCGCGGUAAUACGGGGGGGGUAAGCGUUGUUCGGAAUUACUGGGCGUAAAGGGCUCGUAGGCGGCCAACUAAGUCAUACGUGAAAUCCCUCAGCUUAACUGGGGAACUGCGUGUGAUACUGGAUGGCUUGGAUUUGGGAGAGGGAUGCGGAAUUCCAGGUGUAGCGGUGAAAUGCGUAGAUAUCUGGAGGAACACCGGUGGCGAAGGCGGCAUCCUGGACCAAUAUUGACGCUGAGGAGCGAAAGCCAGGGGAGCAAACGGGAUUAGAUACCCUGGUAGUCCACGCUGUAAACGAUGGGUACUAGAUGUUGCGGGAAUUGACCCCUGCAGUGUCGCAGCUAACGCAUUAAGUACCCCGCCUGGGAAGUACGGCCGCAAGGUUAAAACUCAAAGGAAUUGACGGGGGCCCGCACAAGCGGUGGAGCAUGUGGUUUAAUUCGAUGCAACGCGAAGAACCUACCUGGGUUUGACAUCCCCUGACAGCCGUAGAGAUACGGUUUUGUAGCAAUACACAGGGAGACAGGUGCUGCAUGGCUGUCGUCAGCUCGUAUCGUGAGAUGUUGGGUUAAGUCCCGCAACGAGCGCAACCCUUGUCCUUAGUUGCCACCAUUCAGUUGGGCACUCUAAGGAGACUGCCGGUGUUAAACCGGAGGAAGGUGGGGAUGACGUCAAGUCCUCAUGGCCUUUAUAUCCAGGGCUACACACGUGCUACAAUGGCCGGUACAAAGGGUUGCCAACCCGCGAGGGGGAGCUAAUCUCAGAAAGCCGGUCUUAGUUCGGAUUGAAGUCUGCAAUUCGACUUCAUGAAGCUGGAAUCGCUAGUAAUCGCGGAUCAGAACGCCGCGG